Molecule: ribosomal RNA, 482 nt
Filed under: uncultured bacterium
Lineage: Bacteria
Description: partial 16S ribosomal RNA
Rfam family: Bacterial small subunit ribosomal RNA
Source: RNAcentral
AUUGAACGCUGGCGGCAUGAUUUACACAUGCAAGUCGAACGGUAACAGGCCGCAAGGUGCUGACGAGUGGCGAACGGGUGAGUAAUGCAUCGGAACGUGCCCAGUCGUGGGGGAUAACUACUCGAAAGAGUAGCUAAUACCGCAUACGAUCUAUGGAUGAAAGCGGGGGAGCGGAAGGCCUCGCGCGAUUGGAGCGGGCGAGGUCGGAUGAGGUGGUUGGUGGGGUAAAGGGUCAGCAAGCCAACGAUCUGUAGCUGGUCUGAGAGGACGACCAGCCACACUGGGACUGAGACACGGCCCAGACUCCUACGGGAGGCAGCAGUGGGGAAUUGUGGACAAUGGGCGCAAGCCUGAUCCAGCAAUGCCGCGUGCAGGAAGAAGGCCUUCGGGUUGUAAACUGCUUUUGUACGGAACGAAACGGCUCUGGUUAAUACCCGGGGCUAAUGACGGUACCGUAAGAAUAAGCACCGGCUAACUACGUG